ACAAGGAAAUUGCCCAACACCCUUAUAGAUGUCAAUGUGUUGUAAGUUUUCACUUGUGAAAGCAAUUACAUGUUCAUUCAACAGUAGAUUGAAUAGUCUGUAUAAAAACGAAAAGUAAAUUAUAUAAUUUGCAGAAUUUAUGUUGCACAACUGGCAACACAAGGGAAGCUCUUGCUUUGGUUUCAUUGUAGUUUUAGAAACUGUGGGUUGAUAUUUGAUUACUGGUUAUGCAUAUUGUAUUUGGACUCUGUCAAAGAAAACUAGGUGCCGCUACAAGUUACUGGUUCUUCCAAACACCCGCAGUUGGUACAUCAGGCACAAUAUUUAGAUUAGUAAGUCACCUCGAACUUAUUCGCAAAAUAAGAUUAAUGUUCAUACGAACCUCUUCCAACUAAUGAAUGUCUGCCUUGAAAUUUAGGUUUUCUUUCGAAAUAGAUUGUUUGCUUUUAUUGCCUGUCUUUGUCUCAUUUGACAUUCUCUUGGUUGUCUAGGUUGGUUCCAUUGCUGUGUUUGUAACGAGAUAUAGAGGUAUGAUCGGAGAUGCCAAAGAAGAUCUGCAACAAAGCACAAGUUAUUUCCACAAACCCAGUAUGAUUCUAAGUUUUCGCUACUCUAUGUUUGAGAACCUAAAACCAUAUAAGUAACUAUCAAAAAACCCGUCUCAUACAUACCACAUGCAGUUCCUAGAGUUUGAUGCAGCAGUUUACUGGUCUGUAGGUCCUGCAUGGAAGUAUGAAUCUAUGGCCAGCAAUGGCCAAAGAAUAUUCUCAGACUGAAAACCAUUUUUUACCUUACUGACAGAAAGCUGAAACCUCGAUGAACCAGUGUAAGUAUUGACAAUUGUGACAGGCUCUGAUUUAAAUUGGUUGUGGCUAUACUAUAUGCAAAGUAUAGCAAGGGGUUUGCAAGGUAGAAGUGAAUUCUAAUCGAACCAGUGAUUUACCAGAAAUAAUCGAAGGGAUAUUGUUGAUUUCCCUAGCUAUAUUCUGAUACAUCACUGACCGUUCAGAGUUCACCACCAUUUCUGUAUUGCAAUUUAGCAAAACAAUCUGUUUUCUGAUAUCUGUAGUGUAGUGAAGUUUGGAGUGAAGAUGGCCCUUUUUUUAUAUUGAAGCUCGUUGAAUCUUGACCAUUGAUUUAUGAUUAUUACACUUAAUCAUAUCCGUUAAAAAAUGGGAAACUUAAUUAAUGCUAACAUUUAUAAAAAUUCCUUAUAUGGCAUUAUGCAUAUCCACCACCUACCACUUUAGAUUAUCAUUUAGUGUUAGUGAAAUAUAAGUUGCUGUUUAUCUUUACUAAUACAAAAAAAUAUAACCGCGUUCGGUGCAUGAGUUAAUCGUAGACAAUAAAAUUAUGGAAUUAUAUUAGAUUUUUUAGAAAAUACAACUUGAACUACAUGCAGGGAGGCUCCAGUGAUAUCAUACUUGCAAGUGGAUUGCCUAUAUGCCUUAGGUUGGUGCUUCAAGCCUCCUCACACAUGAAUGAUUUCCAUAAUUAAUGUUAGACACUAUAUUGGUACCUCUCUAGUGAGUUUUGCAAGUCAUAUCUCCGUCAAGAUGCUCUUGACUCUAUGAUCCCACGCCUAC
Molecule: long non-coding RNA, 1586 nt
Filed under: Gossypium barbadense (sea-island cotton)
Lineage: Eukaryota; Viridiplantae; Streptophyta; Magnoliopsida; Malvales; Malvaceae
Description: long non-coding RNA (GBAR_LNC013734)
Source: RNAcentral